Molecule: long non-coding RNA, 4281 nt
Filed under: Gossypium barbadense (sea-island cotton)
Lineage: Eukaryota; Viridiplantae; Streptophyta; Magnoliopsida; Malvales; Malvaceae
Description: long non-coding RNA (GBAR_LNC009272)
Source: RNAcentral
CUGAUUAAAUGUUUCAAACAUAAUACAAAUAUAUGAAUAUAUCAAAAUACACAUUGUAACACCCCAAACCCGGCCCAGAAGUUAUGGCUGGAUCCGACAUGCCACAUCAAAAACGUAAAAAAAAAAAAUUCAUUCUAAGUCCAGAAAAUCGUACUUGAUGUUCAAAAGAUUAAUUCAUUAAGGGUUAAAGUGAAUGGAAGCUGUGCACCAGGUAGGAAACAGGAAAAGAGGUGGUGAGUCCAUCGGACUGCUUAAGUACCAAGCUCCCUUCGAAUCCAAUCCUAGACAUGCAUACCGCCAUUGCCAUACCUUAACGUUAUGGAUAUUUCUAGGAAACCGAUUUUGAUUAAGUCAUUUUUAGGAAAAGUGAUUAAUUUUGGAAAAUACUUUCAUUGCGGAAGCUUUGCUUGUUGUCGUAUUAUUUUGAAAUCAAUUAUUGUUUUUGAAAACGCGCCCUAAAGCUAUCCAAUUUCAACAGUUAAAAUAAGUAUUACCUAUCUUAGUAAUACAUAUUAAAACCAUCAAAAAUAAUUAAGCGGCCUUAUUACAUUUAAAAGCCUAAAAACUUCAAACGUAAAUAAAAGGAUGUCCAGUUCACCAGAAGAAAAAUCAAACUUUCAGAACGGGUGGCCACUCCGAAUUCCCUCACAGCUCCAAGCCCACUAUGGUUGGGGAUUUCCUGCGUGGAUGAAAAUAAAAGGGGUGAGUUUGGGGAAACUCAGUGUGUAAGGAAAACCCAUUCAAAGCCCAAGUUAGCUCAAGCCCAUUGGGCCUAAGCCCAUUCAGGUAACAGUGGUACUGGGCCAGAGCCCUUUUCAGAUUACAAUAAACUGGGCCUUAGCCCCUUAUUCAGAUAACAGUAUGGCCCAUAGGCCCAUUUCAAAAUACAUGCAACAUCAGUAAAUAUAUGCAAGCCCAUUUGGGUAACAGUGGUACUGGGCUAGAGCCCUUUUCAGAUUACAAUAAACUGGGCCUUAGCCCCUUAUUCAGAUAACAGUAUGGUCCAUAGGCCCAUUUCAAAAUACAUGCAACAUCAAUAACAUAUGCAAGCUCAUUUGGGGAGACUACUCAACCCACCAACCACUACACUCCACCCGUACCAGCCAUACACUUCAUGUGGGGAAUAGCUCAACCCACCCAGCCCAACACUCCAUAGUAGCAGCCUUGCUGUUCAGUUGACAGUAAAUUGAGGCAAAGCCUCCAAUACGUGGACAAGCCACUUUCAGUACUUCCUCCGUCAAUAUCCCAGUCCCAUGCAUCAGAUAACAACAACAUGGCAUGCAGUAAAUAACAACAGUCAAACAUGCAUUUAGGUCAAUUUAACCCUAGGGGUAUUUCGGUAAUUUAUCUCCUAGGGGUAAAACUGUAAAUUUUCCACUUUUAAAGAUAUUUCAGUAAUUGAUCUAUUUUAGGGUUUUUCAUGCAUAUUCCUACCUUUCACGUACUAACAGAAUCACUACCGAGGGUUCUUACCGAAUUGGGCCCGUUGGCCCAUCAUUCCAAUUUUGGCCCAUUAAGCCCAAAAAUAUCGAGGGCACAGAAAUCAUGCACUUUGCAAUCCAAAUUUUGCAGUUUACCAAAACCAUUAAUCGAUUUACCUUACGAGCAUUCGCACACUCGCAAAUCUACAAAAUACCGGUUUUCGGCAUUUCGGCUUUUCGACUUUUACCGAUCCAGACUAAGAAAGAGGGUGUUAGUUACACACCUGUUUGCGACGAUAUGCUGACGAGAUCCACACACGAACCGCCUACAAUUGGAUUACUAACACGUUAAUCUAACUAUUCAAAUACAAACUACGUAUUAACCCCUUACAAAAUUCGGCCAACCACACCUACAGAUCGUAGUAAGCUUAUUAGAAAUCAAUAAGCAACUCAUUAACAAAUUUUUGUCAAUGUUUACCACAUAAUCAUAAUUUCACUGCAAGCUGUCUUCCUAAGCAACAGUCACUAAAUUAUUUAUAACUGGAGCUACGAAACUCCAAAUCAAGUUCCGUUAAUUUUCCCUGAAAAUAGACUCAUAUAUAUUCUAUCCAUAAAAUUUUCAGAAUUUUUGGUUUAGCCAAUCAAUACCAGAUUUUUCUCAAAGUUUCCCAUGUUUCACUGUUUGACUAAUUUGACCACUCUUCAUUACGAAUCAAAUUUCUCAUUGUACAGAAUUAAAAAUAUGUUCUUGUUUAUUUCAUUAGAAACUAGACUCAAUAAGCUUUAAUUACAUAAUUUAUUCAGCUUCUAAUUCAUCUCCCACAAUUUAUGGUGAUUUUCCAAAGUCACGUUACUGCUGCUGUCCCAAGCAGAUUUAUUACCAAAUCACUCUUUCAUACACCUAUCUUGCAUGCAUGUUAUUUAAACAUGUAUAUCACCAAUCAAUCAUCACAUAUCUAUGAUUUUUACUUAAGCAUAAUCUCCAUUUCAUCAUUUUAAAGCACAACAUGUUAGCCGAUUUUUCCCUUUAGCAUCUAAGGCACAUGCAUGCUCAUUUGUUUGGCUCAACUUCACAUAUCUUCCAUUUUUCAUCAAAAGAACAUGAAACAACAACCAUUUCCUUCAUUUUAAUUCAUGACCAAAUGCUCACAACACAACUAAAAAUCAAAAUAUACUUCAAGAGUUAAGGUAGAAUCAAUAAGAACUCGUGAACCUCAAAAUAGAAGCAAGGUACCAAGAACUUACCUUCAAUUUUCCUCCUCCUAAUGACCGAAUACUCAAGAGCUUUCUCCUCUCCUUUCUCUUCUCUAACUUUCAGCUAUGAUGAACAAAGAUGGACAAAACUUUGUUCUUUUCACCCCUUUUUCUUUUAAUAAAACUUCAUAUUUCAUCCAUUUAAUUCUUUAAUACAAAAGACAUGAAAUUCUUAUCAUGAAACAUUUACCUAACCCAUUAUCAUGAAACAUUUACCUAACCCAUUAUCAUGGAACAUUUACCUAACCUAUUAUCAAUUUGCAUCAAUUUGUACCAUAAAUUAUGGAUAUCAAGUGCACAUUUUGUCUACAACAACAUGAUGGCUGGCCACUUCAUGUAAAAUGGGAGGUUUGUCAUGCAAAUCCACCUAUUUUGCACUCCUAUUUAUUUGGCCACUUCAAUUUAGCCUAUAGCAUUUUCAAACAUUUUCACAUAGGUCCUAUUUCAUAAUUUCACCCCCUUUUUCUUAUGGAACAAAAAUUAACUAAAAUUGCCGGGUUCUAUCUUAAGCUUGGGCCUUCUAGAGGCCCACUAACAUAAUUAAACCUAUGCCAACAUUCUCAGAAUUCUUGAAAAUUGGGGCGUUACACACAUCUUAUAAAAUUUUAACCUCCUAAAUUUAUUUGAUAUAUAUAAAGGCCAUCAGAAUACAAAAUCACAAGUAAUCAUUUCUAAUAACCAUUCAUUUGGGUUGCCCUGUGUAAUGGGCCAAAUUCGUCCGGGCCCAACACAAUGGCCCAAUGCCCAAAAUAAGCCCAAACAACCUAAAAUUUUGGUCACUGGAAACCUUAGCAGCCUCCAACGUCGACUGCCCCCUCCAUACCUCCGUACCCAGUACCGUACGGCCUCCACGGGCCACGCACACCCGUAAACAGACAAGAAUAGCACUGCAAAACAGCAGUAGAGAGAAAAAAACAAAAAAUUCCUUGUAUUUUUCUUUUAUUUUCGGCUAUAUAGAAGCCCUAUGUUCAUGGAAAAAAGGGGGGGGGCAUACACACAUACAUUAUACGAAAACUGAAUAGAAACAUUCAAAAACAAUUUUUGAAGAGGUGAUCAUUCUUAGUCUUUUUAAUCUUUCUGUCAUUUUUAUCUAUUUUCCAUCGAUUGUUUUCAUCAUUUUCAUUUUAAAACAAAGGAGGGGAAAAAGCAAACCUUACCUUGCGAAUCGGCCAUGGAUCUCGAUUCGCUUCAUUGAAAUCGAAGCCGAAAGGGGAUCUAAAGGCAUCGUGGUGUUGGAAGGAAGGUUGAGUGGUGGCCGAAUAGGAGCAAACUUCUAGGUUUUUGGCUUUUUCAAUUUGUUCUGCCAAAAUAUUUGGCUUUUAAGAAGCACAGCACAAAGUGACGCUGUUUAUGGCUUGUAUUUGUAGCCUUGAAUUGGACAUGCCAAGCCCUUCCCCAUCGCACAAGUCUUUGAUUGCACCUUGUUUAUUUCAUUUGUUUUUUAAUUUGGUCUUGUAAUUUGUGCUUAUUUCCAACUGGGUCCGUGCCUCAACAAGGAUCUGGAAUAUUGCCAGUUUUACUCCUUAUGCAUUUAUGCACGUUGCACGCUGGUCCCCAUGUUGGUUUCUUUAUUUUUAAAUUAUCUCUCUCAUUUUAAUUCCAUCUU